AAAAGGCGCAUAAAAUAAUGGGCUUCUUCGCGAUUUAUCCGUUUUAUCAAAUCAGCCCCUUUGCGGACUUUUCGCGAUUCCCGAAGAUCCGUCCGUCGGAUUUCCGAUCGGAUCACACCAGGGCGAUCAGCACGACAGAGGCAUCGAAUCUAGCAUUUCGUUUCGCCCGAAAAGAUCUCCGAUUUGUGACAAAACCCACCCUCAUUGGUUCCACCAAAA
This 219-nucleotide long non-coding RNA is filed under the name Ananas comosus (pineapple). Its description in RNAcentral is "long non-coding RNA (ACOM_LNC013183)". The record is from RNAcentral. Lineage: Eukaryota; Viridiplantae; Streptophyta; Magnoliopsida; Poales; Bromeliaceae.